AUAAGAAAGUGGAGAAAAUCAUGCAAGGAUUGCCUUCUUUUUAAUAUGUCGAAAAGCCCCCAAAUAAGAGGUAAAAGCAUCGUAGGUGACCCACACUUGCUGCAAUUGCUGAGCAAGUCUGAUCCCCAGAUACCUGAGGAGAGUGUCACAGUGUGUUUGGUAACUGUGCAAUUUGGGAAUGUCUGAGGUAGAGAAAGGUUCUCUGGAAUGGUCUCAGGCCACUGUACAGCAACAGUUCUGAGUGGCCACAUAGUGCUGCAUUUGAACCCCUGACCCAGGAACAAAAUGAAUUACGUGUAGACUGAAGUAUGGAGAUGGGACAAUUCUGGUUUCUCACGUUUCAAAGGAAUAAAGCAGUGACUGUAGACAGUGAUUGCUUGGAGCUAGCUCUUCUCUUCCCAGCUUGCCUAUGGAUUCUCCUGAGCAGCCAUCUUUCAGAUGCAUGGCACAUUCUGGAAACCAGCUCAAGUGUAAAAUUUUGGGAAGAGCCUUUAUUGCUGACUUCAGACAGGAAAAUCACACCCUGGAAAAGGCCAAGAAUGCUAGCAGGUCUGUUCCCAGUAAAGGGCUGAUGGUACUUGCAUGGUGCAGAAACAUGUUGAAUUUUCUCUCUACUUCCUGAGAGAAUUAUUAGACUGGCUGGUUU
Molecule: long non-coding RNA, 646 nt
Filed under: Cyanistes caeruleus (blue tit)
Lineage: Eukaryota; Metazoa; Chordata; Aves; Passeriformes; Paridae
Description: lncRNA (ENSCCEG00000015260.1)
Source: RNAcentral